Long non-coding RNA from Gallus gallus (chicken), 577 nucleotides. RefSeq lists it as uncharacterized. Lineage: Eukaryota; Metazoa; Chordata; Aves; Galliformes; Phasianidae. The transcript is spliced from 3 exons. The record is from RefSeq and is a predicted model, not a curated record.
GGGCAGGAAGGGGAGGAGCUGAGACAAGGAAGAGCAGUAAUGAGCAGGAGACAACUGGACUUUGGAUCUGCUACAAGAAACCAGAACGGCCAUCACAAAGAGUGAUGCUCUGGUGCUCACCUGCAGAGGUGAGCAGGAAAGCACAUUAAGGCUGGAUGCAUUACCAGGUUCCUCUGCAACCAGUGUGAUGCCGUGAAUGUGAAGGAUAAAACCCGUCAGAAGAGGGAAGCAAAAGAUGAAACAGAUGAGGCAGAUGUGGAACAGCAGCAGCAGGAUAACAGGCAGCUUCCUUUGGGAUAUUUCUUUCCCAGUAUCCUAAAUACAAGAGGCGAGAGGGUAAGCAGGAAUCCUGAAUCCCAUGCACACGUGAGUCUGGUUAAGCAGAGACCCAGCAAGCUCAGGAAUGUCCAUCGAGGAGUCUUCUGCUACCACUGUGUGUAUCACAGUGGGACAAUGCAACUUUGCCUACAGCCAGAAGUUGUGCUGUUUGUGUGCUUGUGCAGGGGAGCAGCACCCAGAAUUUCCUUCCUUUAACUCCACCUGCAGGCAGCCACAGCACAGGCCUGAGCCUGCCAGG